UAACAAAUUCCAUCCACACAGUUGAUUUCUGGGUAUUUUUGAAAUAAUAAAAAUAAAAAUAUGAGUUCACAUUUUAAAGUUAAUUUUAUACAGUUUUGUGUAAACAUAUCUAAUAACAAAUAUGUCCCUUCAAAUUUUAACUUUUCAUAUUUAUUCAUACAAAAGUUCAGUAAUAUUUUUAUUUAUCGCUCUGAUUUGUUAUGGUUAAAGUAUAGUUUAUUUUUAACAAAAGAUAAGUAAAAUGACUUUUUUACCAUUACAAAUAUGUCCAUUCAAAAGUUUAAAUUGUUAGAAUUAUACAAAAAUAUCCUUCCAAAUUUUUUAACGAUUAUCUCCUUUUUUUCUACCAUUACAAAUAAUAUAAGAGAGAAAAAAAACCAAUUUACCUCAUUUAAUAAUUAUAAUUUUUCUAACGGAUCCUAAAAAUAGGAGUAUACUUAAAAACGUUAGGAUUUUUAUAUAGAUAAAUAUAAAAAGUUAAAAUUUAUAGGAAUAUAUCUGCUAUUCGAUAUAUUUAUAGAAAAUUAUAUGCAAUUAACCAUAUUAAUUAAUUUAGAGUGUUUUCCACC
This 569-nucleotide long non-coding RNA is filed under the name Ananas comosus (pineapple). RNAcentral describes it as "long non-coding RNA (ACOM_LNC011586)". The record is from RNAcentral. Lineage: Eukaryota; Viridiplantae; Streptophyta; Magnoliopsida; Poales; Bromeliaceae.